UACGAGGGGUGCGAGCGUUAUUCGGAAUUAUUGGGCGUAAAGGGUGCGUAGGCGGUAUAUUAAGUCUGUUGUUAAAGCUCUCGGCUCAACCGGGAAUUGGCAGUAGAAACUGAUAAACUAGAGGGUGGAAGAGAGGAGUAGAAUUCUCGGAGUAGCGGUAAAAUGCGUAGAUAUCGAGAGGAAUACCAAUGGCGAAGGCAGCUCCUUAGUCCAACUCUGACGCUGAUGUACGAAAGUGUGGGGAGCAAACAGG
Molecule: ribosomal RNA, 253 nt
Filed under: uncultured bacterium
Lineage: Bacteria
Description: partial 16S ribosomal RNA
Rfam family: Bacterial small subunit ribosomal RNA
Source: RNAcentral